GAGAGAGAGCAACAAAGUGACGUAUUUGCAGUGAUGCUGUUGAUAUACCUCAUGGUCUUUGGCUCUUCUUAGGCUCCCAGGAGACAUUUGGCACCUUAGGGCUUUAACACCUCAGACAUUACUCGCAACUCCAUUACUGCUGUCUGCUACAGGCAGGGACAAGUGCAGAGACAAGAGAAAGAUGUAACAGCAUCGGUUCAAAGAGAUGCAAAAAGGUAGGAAAUGACACAAGCAGAAAAGCACUCAACUUGCUGGACUCAUGCCUGGUUGUCACCCAACAUGAGUAGUUGAUACUGUUCAAGCACCGCCA
RNAcentral lists this long non-coding RNA (310 nucleotides) under Chrysolophus pictus (golden pheasant). Its description in RNAcentral is "lncRNA (ENSCPIG00010003891.1)". Lineage: Eukaryota; Metazoa; Chordata; Aves; Galliformes; Phasianidae. The record is from RNAcentral.